UACGUAGGUGGCAAGCGUUGUUCGGAAUUAUUGGGCGUAAAGGGUGCGUAGGCGGCGCGGUAAGUCGGGUGUGAAAUCUCGGGGCUUAACUCCGAAACUGCAUUCGAUACUGCCGUGCUUGAGGACUGGAGAGGAGACUGGAAUUUACGGUGUAGCGGUGAAAUGCGUAGAUAUCAAGAGGAACACCUGCGGCGAAGGCGGGUUGCUGGGCCGACACUGACGCUGAGGCGCGAAAGCCAGGGGAGCGAACGGG
RNAcentral lists this ribosomal RNA (253 nucleotides) under uncultured bacterium. RNAcentral describes it as "partial 16S ribosomal RNA". It matches the Rfam family "Bacterial small subunit ribosomal RNA", at positions 524 to 776 of the family's 1533-position model. The record is from RNAcentral.